CUUCAUUUAUUAAAAUACAAUCUCUGAAAAGCAGUUUGUUUGGAGGCGUAUGAAAUCCAGUGCUGUGUUUAUCUAGGUGCGAGGAUACAAGUGAGUUGGCUUCCAUUCGGACGUCUACGAUGAGACGAUGGACAGGGUGAGGCCUCGGCGUUGAUACAGAGUGCACUGGUGGUGGCAGAAUACAGCACGACCCCAGUGCCAAGGUCAUCAAAGUGUACAGCUACUCACAGGGGUUUGGGAAGGCAGACCACAGCAAGACUGUAGAAAUUCUGAAGACUGCAUAUCCUGUUU
Molecule: long non-coding RNA, 291 nt
Organism: Schistocerca piceifrons (Central American locust)
Lineage: Eukaryota; Metazoa; Arthropoda; Insecta; Orthoptera; Acrididae
Exons: 3
Source: RefSeq, a predicted model, not a curated record